Molecule: ribosomal RNA, 837 nt
Filed under: Xanthoparmelia aff. subramigera
Lineage: Eukaryota; Fungi; Ascomycota; Lecanoromycetes; Lecanorales; Parmeliaceae
Description: eukaryotic LSU rRNA
Rfam family: Eukaryotic large subunit ribosomal RNA
Source: RNAcentral
AACGGUGAGUGAAGCGGCAACAGCUCAAAUUUGAAAUCUGGCCCCGUCGGGGUCCGAAUUGUAAUUUGUAGAGAGUGCUUCGGGCGAGGCCUCGGUCUAAGUCCAUUGGAACAUGGUGUCAUAGAGGGUGAGAAUCCCGUAUGCGACCGUGGCUCGAGCCCAUGUGAAGCCUCUUCGACGAGUCGAGUUGUUUGGGAAUGCAGCUCAAAAUGGGUGGUAAAUUUCAUCUAAAGCUAAAUACCGGCUGGAGACCGAUAGCGCACAAGUAGAGUGAUCGAAAGAUGAAAAGCACUUUGGAAAGAGAGUCAAACAGUACGUGAAAUUGUUGAAAGGGAAGCGCUUGCAACCAGACCUGCCCGUAGGCGAUCAGCCGCUGUUCUCAGCGGUGUACUCGCUCUGCGAUCAGGCCAGCAUCGGUUUCGGCGGUUGGAUAAAGGCCUUGGGAAUGUAGCUUCCCUUCGGGGGAGUCUUAUAGCCCUCGGUGCAAUGCGGCCAGCCGGGACCGAGGACCGCGCUUCGGCUAGGAUGCUGGCGUAAUGGUUGUAAGCGACCCGUCUUGAAACACGGACCAAGGAGUCUAACAUCUAUGCGAGUGUUUGGGUGUCAAACCCAUGCGCGGAAUGAAAGUGAACGGAGGUGAGAACCCUGGAGGGCGCAUCAUCGACCGAUCCAGAUGUCUUCGGAUGGAUUUGAGUAUGAGCAUAGCUGUUGGGACCCGAAAGAUGAUGAACUAUUCCUGAAUAGGGUGAAGCCAGAGGAAACUCUGGUGGAGGCUCGCAGCGGUUCUGACGUGCAAAUCGAUCGUCAAAUUUGGGUAUAGGGGCGAAAGACUAAUCG